CCUACGGGAGGCAGCAGUGGGGGAUAUUGCACAAUGGGGGAAACCCUGAUGCAGCGACGCCGCGUGGGUGAAGAAGCGCCUCGGCGCGUAAAGCCCUGUCAGCAGGGAAGAAAAUGACGGUACCUGAAGAAGAAGCCCCGGCUAACUACGUGCCAGCAGCCGCGGUAAUACGUAGGGGGCAAGCGUUAUCCGGAUUUACUGGGUGUAAAGGGGGCGCAGACGGCGAUGCAAGCCAGGAGUGAAAGCCCGGGGCCCAACCCCGGGACUGCUCUUGGAACUGCGUGGCGAGAGUGCAGGAGGGGCAGGCGGAAGUCCUGGUGUAGCGGUGAAAUGCGUAGAUAUCAGGAGGAACACCGGUGGCGAAGGCGGCCUGCUGGACUGCAACUGACGUUGAGGCCCGAAAGCGUGGGGAGCAAACAGGAUUAGAUACCCCAGUAGUC
This 440-nucleotide ribosomal RNA is filed under the name uncultured bacterium. Its description in RNAcentral is "partial 16S ribosomal RNA". It matches the Rfam family "Bacterial small subunit ribosomal RNA", at positions 338 to 795 of the family's 1533-position model. The record is from RNAcentral.